Long non-coding RNA from Pogona vitticeps (central bearded dragon), 1122 nucleotides. The record is from Ensembl. Lineage: Eukaryota; Metazoa; Chordata; Lepidosauria; Squamata; Agamidae.
CAGAAUGCAAUAAAAUAACAUAUGCUGCAGAGAUUCAACCUCUCCCUGACCACAUGGGCAGACUCUCAGUUCUGUAGGUAAAACCAUAUACCUGCCCUGUGCUAAGCUCGAUGGUACUAUAUUGCACCUGGCAAGAGUAAAUGCCCAUCGGUCUUGUGGCUGUUCUAACUGGAGAAAUGUCAGAAAAGCUCAUAGAUUCCAGAUGUCUACAUGGAGACUACUGACAGCUUUGCCUGCCCUCUAAGUGACUGGCCCGCUUUCAGAAACAGCUGAAUCUGGGACAAAGAGUCUCCUGGAGAUUCUUCUGCCAUUUGAGCAAAAUCCGGUUCAAGGCUUCUCUGCUGUUCUCAUCUCCAUUAUCAUAAACCAGUAGCACUCGCCCAAGGAUGGCAAAGAGUUCAUUUUCAAUUCAUUUUUAAUAAUAAUUCCCCAAGAUUCACAACUUUCUUCAUAUACACAAUAGAAACAAUAUGAGAUAUAAAAAAACAAAAGCAAAGCCUAAAUGUGAGAUGAAUUAAAACAGUUUCACCCACCUCAGUUGAAGGAAAUGAAGGCACGGCCUUGAGUUUGCAACCGCUGUGAAUGACAGGACAUUCUUGAGGUUGCUCAAGCGUAGGGUUGCCAUGGGUCGGAGUUGACUUGACAGCAUAUAACAACAACAAGCUGAAGGCUUUGAGUGCUUAACUCUGGAUUGUAUGUCUUGCUUUUAAAACUCUUUUCUUUAUCACAGGUGCCUCAGCGUUCACAUCUGUGUGGUAUAGGUCAUGUAUAACAUCAAAAAAAUCAGUUUGAGGUGUCCACCCCCUGCUAUUUUCAGGGCUACCCAUGCUAUUCAACAAAUAAUUGAACCUCGUUGUCUCUUUUCCCCCCGAAUAUCUGAUUUUGGAAGUAAAAUAGGAAGAAAAAGAACAUUUUUCUGCUUUAGUGUUCCGGCUGUGAAAUAUCUCUCAGGUCCAGGACCACGGGGCAUUGAGACUAAGAUUCGACGCAGCACAUGGAAACAGCCUUCACAGACUUAUUUUUAUUUCUGCUCUUCACACUUCUAAGACUUUUUUUGCAUUAGAUAUACAAUCCAUUCCUGACAAAAAUAAAAUGUCUCUUUAACUGAUAUGUUGUUUAAAA